Molecule: long non-coding RNA, 372 nt
Filed under: Hordeum vulgare
Lineage: Eukaryota; Viridiplantae; Streptophyta; Magnoliopsida; Poales; Poaceae
Description: long non-coding RNA (HVUL_LNC011226)
Source: RNAcentral
CGUUAUUUCUUGACUAUGUUACAGUAAAAGAUUAUUAUUAUUAUUAUUAUCCUACAAACCUCGACCCACAUUGUCCAUCUUCACCAUCUCUCCCACAUCCUCGCCGUCACCAUGGUUUGGCGUACCCUCGCCAUCGACCUCCCCGAGUUCUCUUUCUUUCCGGGCGAGCCGUUGACCGCGAUCUGGUCGAGGGAAAGGAGACACCGGAGGAAGUUACAAAGUCAUUGUGGUGGCUCAAUUGAUGCGGCUGACGGCGGGCACCGGUGAGCGGCGGGGAGGUCGCCACCUCUCCUCACCUCCUCCCAGGUUCCCGGUCUAGAGCAGAGGGACGGAUGUCGGCGAGGCCACCCCCCUUCACACAAAGGUACUCAC